This 394-nucleotide ribosomal RNA is filed under the name uncultured bacterium. Its description in RNAcentral is "bacterial SSU rRNA". It matches the Rfam family "Bacterial small subunit ribosomal RNA", at positions 524 to 916 of the family's 1533-position model. The record is from RNAcentral.
GACAGAGGUGGCUAGCGUUGUUCGGAUUUAUUGGGCGUAAAGCGCACGCAGGCGGGUUGGUAAGUCAGAGGUGAAAGGUCACAGCUCAACUGUGACAUUGCCUUUGAUACUGCCUUUCUUGAGUGCAUGAGGGGGAAGCGGAAUUCCGGGUGUAGAGGUGAAAUUCGUAGAUAUCCGGAGGAACACCGGUGGCGAAGGCGGCUUCCUGGCAUGUAACUGACGCUCAGGUGCGAAAGCGUGGGGAGCAAACAGGAUUAGAUACCCUGGUAGUCCACGCCCUAAACGAUGGGCACUAGGUGUGGGAGGUAUCGACCCCUUCCGUGCCGCAGCUAACGCAUUAAGUGCCCCGCCUGGGGAGUACGGCCGCAAGGUUGAAACUUAAAUGAAUUGACGG